AUGAACGCUGGCGGCGUGCCUAAUACAUGCAAGUCGAGCGAACGGACGAGAAGCUUGCUUCUCUGAUGUUAGCGGCGGACGGGUGAAUAACACGUGGAUAACCUACCUAUAAGACUGGGAUAACUUCGGGAAACCGGAGCUAAUACCGGAUAAUAUUUUGAACCGCAUGGUUCAAAAGUGAAAGACGGUCUUGCUGUCACUUAUAGAUGGAUCCGCGCUGCAUUAGCUAGUUGGUAAGGUAACGGCUUACCAAGGCAACGAUGCAUAGCCGACCUGAGAGGGUGAUCGGCCACACUGGAACUGAGACACGGUCCAGACUCCUACGGGAGGCAGCAGUAGGGAAUCUUCCGCAAUGGGCGAAAGCCUGACGGAGCAACGCCGCGUGAGUGAUGAAGGUCUUCGGAUCGUAAAACUCUGUUAUUAGGGAAGAACAUAUGUGUAAGUAACUGUGCACAUCUUGACGGUACCUAAUCAGAAAGCCACGGCUAACUACGUG
RNAcentral lists this ribosomal RNA (496 nucleotides) under uncultured bacterium. Its description in RNAcentral is "partial 16S ribosomal RNA". It matches the Rfam family "Bacterial small subunit ribosomal RNA", at positions 29 to 507 of the family's 1533-position model. The record is from RNAcentral.